This 369-nucleotide ribosomal RNA is filed under the name Salmonella enterica subsp. enterica. RNAcentral's name for it is "bacterial SSU rRNA". It matches the Rfam family "Bacterial small subunit ribosomal RNA", at positions 108 to 473 of the family's 1533-position model. RNAcentral also lists the same sequence under 1 other name. Lineage: Bacteria; Pseudomonadati; Pseudomonadota; Gammaproteobacteria; Enterobacterales; Enterobacteriaceae. The record is from RNAcentral.
GAGUAAUGUCUGGGAAACUGCCUGAUGGAGGGGGAUAACUACUGGAAACGGUGGCUAAUACCGCAUAACGUCGCAAGACCAAAGAGGGGGACCUUCGGGCCUCUUGCCAUCAGAUGUGCCCAGAUGGGAUUAGCUUGUUGGUGAGGUAACGGCUCACCAAGGCGACGAUCCCUAGCUGGUCUGAGAGGAUGACCAGCCACACUGGAACUGAGACACGGUCCAGACUCCUACGGGAGGCAGCAGUGGGGAAUAUUGCACAAUGGGCGCAAGCCUGAUGCAGCCAUGCCGCGUGUAUGAAGAAGGCCUUCGGGUUGUAAAGUACUUUCAGCGGGGAGGAAGGUGUUGUGGUUAAUAACCGCAGCAAUUGAC